ACGGCCACACCUAGGCGAAAACACCAGUUCCCGUCCGAUCACUGCAGUUAAGCGUCUGAGGGUCUCGUUAGUACUAUGGUUGGAGACAACAAGGGAAUCCGGGAUGCUGUAGGCU
Molecule: ribosomal RNA, 115 nt
Filed under: Schizosaccharomyces osmophilus
Lineage: Eukaryota; Fungi; Ascomycota; Schizosaccharomycetes; Schizosaccharomycetales; Schizosaccharomycetaceae
Source: RNAcentral